RNAcentral lists this ribosomal RNA (934 nucleotides) under Postia sericeomollis. RNAcentral's name for it is "LSU rRNA". It matches the Rfam family "Eukaryotic large subunit ribosomal RNA", at positions 37 to 955 of the family's 3401-position model. The record is from RNAcentral. Lineage: Eukaryota; Fungi; Basidiomycota; Agaricomycetes; Polyporales; Postiaceae.
AGCAUAUCAAUAAGCGGAGGAAAAGAAACUAACAAGGAUUCCCCUAGUAACUGCGAGUGAAGCGGGAAAAGCUCAAAUUUAAAAUCUGGCGGUCCUUGCGGCUGUCCGAGUUGUAAUCUGGAGAAGUGCUUUCCGUGCUGGACCGUGUACAAGUCUCUUGGAACAGAGCGUCGUAGAGGGUGAGAAUCCCGUCUUUGACACGGACUACCAGUGCUUUGUGAUGCGCUCUCAAAGAGUCGAGUUGUUUGGGAAUGCAGCUCAAAAUGGGUGGUAAAUUCCAUCUAAAGCUAAAUAUUGGCGAGAGACCGAUAGCGAACAAGUACCGUGAGGGAAAGAUGAAAAGAACUUUGGAAAGAGAGUUAAACAGUACGUGAAAUUGCUGAAAGGGAAACACUUGAAGUCAGUCGCGUUGGCCGGAACUCAGCCUUGCUUUUGCUUGGUGCACUUUCUGGUUGACGGGUCAGCAUCAGUUUUGAUUGUCGGAUAAUGGUCGAGGGAAUGUGGCAUCUUCGGAUGUGUUAUAGCCCUUGGUCGCAUACGAUGGUUGGGACUGAGGAUCUCAGCACACCUUUAUGGUCGGGGUUCGCCCACGUUUGUGCUUAGGAUGCUGGCAUAAUGGCUUUAAAUGACCCGUCUUGAAACACGGACCAAGGAGUCUAACAUGCAUGCGAGUGUUUGGGUGGAAAACCCGAGCGCGUAAUGAAAGUGAAAGUUGAGACCUCUGUCGUGGAGGGCAUCGACGCCCGGACCAGACCUUCUGUGACGGCUCUGCGGUAGAGCAUGUAUGUUGGGACCCGAAAGAUGGUGAACUAUGCCUGAAUAGGGUGAAGCCAGAGGAAACUCUGGUGGAGGCUCGUAGCGAUUCUGACGUGCAAAUCGAUCGUCAAAUUUGGGUAUAGGGGCGAAAGACUAAUCGAACCAUCUAGUAGCUGGU